This 1752-nucleotide long non-coding RNA is filed under the name Mus musculus (house mouse). RNAcentral describes it as "Ftx transcript, Xist regulator, non-protein coding". The record is from RNAcentral. Lineage: Eukaryota; Metazoa; Chordata; Mammalia; Rodentia; Muridae.
GCGGAACGUUCUGGUAAUUAUGAUUGCGAAAUAGCGAGGGGUUCGAUUUUAUUGGCUGCAGACACACGCAGCAUCUUCUUGCGCUCCUCCUUGAGGUGGAUGGGCAGCUAGCUGGAGAUGACACAGGAUGAUGCGCAUCUUUCGCACGCUGGCUCCAAGAUCUCCGCUGCCAGAUGCAGCAACAAAGCUUCUUUGUACAGACAGCCCUGGACACACUUCCAGCAGCAAUUCUUCUUGCAGGAACUGGUGCAAGAACAGGAUUUAUUCGUGGCACAGGAGCAGUUGGUGUCCACUGGGAGUGGAGGCAGAAGAGAGACCAGAGCGGGUAUGUUAGGAGAGAAAGCAGUGACUUCAACAGAAGUGGAGUAAAUAAAGAUGAUCACAGAACUUGGAAGCUGACGAAAUUAAUUUUGGAAAAGAGCUGGCUUGGAGCAUGACAGAAGAAUUCGAUGGAAAGAGUGCUGGGAGCCCAACUCAAGACUGAUGUGUGCUUGGCAGGCAGUCUACCCCCGAUCUCAGUCCUCCAGCCUUUCGGCCUUUUUUCCUUUUUGGAGACAGAAUUGCAUCAUAUGGCAUCCUACACAGUCCUGCCUCAGUCUCUGCAGUGCUGGGAUUGUAGGCCUAUGCCACCUAGCCUUUCUACAAUACAAACAAAUAUGAAAAGAAGAGGGACUUCUUUGGAAAGGAGUACAGGGACUAUGGAAGAGAUGAAAAGAUAAUAUUGUCAGAAAUUAUGCCGCUUUUGAAGAGAUAAACUGAACUCUUGAUUCUGUGAGGUUAUUAAAGAAUAUUAAUUUUCAAAUCACGGUAAAAUCUUGAUUCAGCAACACAUGAGGAUAAUCAUUGUGUCCAUGGAAACCUUGGGAAGCAGUUGAAAGCCUGGUCCCUCUUGCCUGGAGCAUUAACACAACGUGGCUGCAAAGUUAGUCCUUUCCCGCUACCAUCUCCUGAAUACUGGGACUAACUACACGUAUGCACGAACCUGCCCAUCUUUGCCUCUGUUAACAGCUGCCACUGUCUCUUCACGACAUGAUGGCUGACCUAGGUUGGAAGGAACAGAGCCAGUUGGCCAUGGACUGAAACUUUUGGAACUGAUUCUGAGGAGUUAAUGUUUCCAUGAAUAUCUCAGAAGGAGAUGUGGACAAACGAACAGUUAUCUCACUCCUGUAGCUAUCUUUCUUAUCCAGCCCAGGCCCUCCCACCGAGAAGUGGCACUAACCACCACAGGUCAAUAUAAUGGAGACAGUUCUUCAAUUGAUGUUCCCCCUUCCCAGGGGUUUCAUUUGCAAAUGCCUGCAGGAUCCAGAUGGGGGACAUGUGUGAGAUGGCUCCUGGUAUUCAUUCUCUCUCUCUUUCUCUCUCUCUCUCUCUCUCUCUCUCUCUCUCUCUCUCUCAAAGCUGGGUUUUGUGGUGUUUUUUCUUUAUCAGAGAGAUUACCGGAUGCCAAGGGACAGAUGGUGGAUCUAAGAGGAUGGGAGAGUAUUUGAGGCCCCGACCCAUUUAAUGUGCAAAAUGCAUCUAAAGAGAAAGGCUAGUGGGCUGGUGAGAUGGCUCAGUGGGUUAGAGCACCCGACUGCUCUUCCGAAGGUCCAGAGUUCAAAUCCCAGCAACCACAUGGUGGCUCACAACCAUCCGUAACAAGAUCUGACUCCCUCUUCUGGAGUGUCUGAAGACAGCUACAGUGUACUUACAUAUAAUAAAUAAAUAAAUCUUUAAAAAAAAAAAAAAAAAAAAAAGAGAAAGGCUAGUACU